Molecule: ribosomal RNA, 1372 nt
Filed under: uncultured bacterium
Lineage: Bacteria
Description: bacterial SSU rRNA
Rfam family: Bacterial small subunit ribosomal RNA
Source: RNAcentral
GAUGAACGCUGGCGGCGUGCCUAAUACAUGCAAGUCGAGCGAACGGACGAGAAGCUUGCUUCUCUGAUGUUAGCGGCGGACGGGUGAGUAACACGUGGAUAACCUACCUAUAAGACUGGGAUAACUUCGGGAAACCGGAGCUAAUACCGGAUAAUAUUUUGAACCGCAUGGUUCAAAAGUGAAAGACGGUCUUGCUGUCACUUAUAGAUGGAUCCGCGCUGCAUUAGCUAGUUGGUAAGGUAACGGCUUACCAAGGCAACGAUGCAUAGCCGACCUGAGAGGGUGAUCGGCCACACUGGAACUGAGACACGGUCCAGACUCCUACGGGAGGCAGCAGUAGGGAAUCUUCCGCAAUGGGCGAAAGCCUGACGGAGCAACGCCGCGUGAGUGAUGAAGGUCUUCGGAUCGUAAAACUCUGUUAUUAGGGAAGAACAUAUGUGUAAGUAACUGUGCACAUCUUGACGGUACCUAAUCAGAAAGCCACGGCUAACUACGUGCCAGCAGCCGCGGUAAUACGUAGGUGGCAAGCGUUAUCCGGAAUUAUUGGGCGUAAAGCGCGCGUAGGCGGUUUUUUAAGUCUGAUGUGAAAGCCCACGGCUCAACCGUGGAGGGUCAUUGGAAACUGGAAAACUUGAGUGCAGAAGAGGAAAGUGGAAUUCCAUGUGUAGCGGUGAAAUGCGCAGAGAUAUGGAGGAACACCAGUGGCGAAGGCGACUUUCUGGUCUGUAACUGACGCUGAUGUGCGAAAGCGUGGGGAUCAAACAGGAUUAGAUACCCUGGUAGUCCACGCCGUAAACGAUGAGUGCUAAGUGUUAGGGGGUUUCCGCCCCUUAGUGCUGCAGCUAACGCAUUAAGCACUCCGCCUGGGGAGUACGACCGCAAGGUUGAAACUCAAAGGAAUUGACGGGGACCCGCACAAGCGGUGGAGCAUGUGGUUUAAUUCGAAGCAACGCGAAGAACCUUACCAAAUCUUGACAUCCUUUGACAACUCUAGAGAUAGAGCCUUCCCCUUCGGGGGGCAAAGUGACAGGUGGUGCAUGGUUGUCGUCAGCUCGUGUCGUGAGAUGUUGGGUUAAGUCCCGCAACGAGCGCAACCCUUAAGCUUAGUUGCCAUCAUUAAGUUGGGCACUCUAGGUUGACUGCCGGUGACAAACCGGAGGAAGGUGGGGAUGACGUCAAAUCAUCAUGCCCCUUAUGAUUUGGGCUACACACGUGCUACAAUGGACAAUACAAAGGGCAGCGAAACCGCGAGGUCAAGCAAAUCCCAUAAAGUUGUUCUCAGUUCGGAUUGUAGUCUGCAACUCGACUACAUGAAGCUGGAAUCGCUAGUAAUCGUAGAUCAGCAUGCUACGGUGAAUACGUUCCCGGGUCU